RNAcentral lists this ribosomal RNA (301 nucleotides) under uncultured bacterium. RNAcentral describes it as "partial 16S ribosomal RNA". It matches the Rfam family "Bacterial small subunit ribosomal RNA", at positions 509 to 808 of the family's 1533-position model. The record is from RNAcentral.
CAGCGCCGCGGGAAUACGGAGGGUGCAAGCGUUAAUCGGAAUUACUGGGCGUAAAGCGCACGCAGGCGGUCUGACAAGUCAGAUGUGAAAUCCCCGGGCUUAACCUGGGAACUGCAUUUGAAACUGUCAGGCUGGAGUCUUGUAGAGGGGGGUGGAAUUCCAGGUGUAGCGGUGAAAUGCGUAGAGAUCUGGAGGAAUACCGGUGGCGAAGGCGGCCCCCUGGACAAAGACUGACGCUCAGGUGCGAAAGCGUGGGGAGCAAACAGGAUUAGAUACCCCUGUAGUCCCUGUCUCUUAUACA